UACGUAGGGGGCAAGCGGUGUCCGGAAUUAUUGGGCGUAAAGAGCGUGUAGGCGGUCCGGUAAGUCAGCUGUGAAAGUCAAGGGCUCAACCCUUGAAUGCCGGUUGAUACUGUCGGGCUAGAGUCCGGAAGAGGCGAGUGGAAUUCCCGGUGUAGCGGUGAAAUGCGCAGAUAUCGGGAGGAACACCAAUGGCGAAGGCAGCUCGCUGGGACGGUACUGACGCUGAGACGCGAAAGCGUGGGGAGCAAACAGG
This 253-nucleotide ribosomal RNA is filed under the name uncultured bacterium. Its description in RNAcentral is "partial 16S ribosomal RNA". It matches the Rfam family "Bacterial small subunit ribosomal RNA", at positions 524 to 776 of the family's 1533-position model. The record is from RNAcentral.